AAGCAACGCGCAGAACCUUACCAGCGUUUGACAUCCCGCGCUAUCCAGAGAGAUUUGGAGUUCCCUUCGGGGACGCGGUGACAGGUGCUGCAUGGCUGUCGUCAGCUCGUGUCGUGAGAUGUUGGGUUAAGUCCCGCAACGAGCGCAACCCUCGUCCUUAGUUGCCAUCAUUUAGUUGGGCACUCUAAGGAAACCGCCGGUGAUAAGCCGGAGGAAGGUGGGGAUGACGUCAAGUCCUCAUGGCCCUUACACGCUGGGCUACACACGUGCUACAAUGGCGGUGACAGUGGGCAGCAAGCGCGCGAGCGUGAGCUAAUCUCCAAAAGCCGUCUCAGUUCGGAUUGUUCUCUGCAAC
Molecule: ribosomal RNA, 355 nt
Filed under: unidentified activated sludge bacterium CL04
Lineage: Bacteria
Description: bacterial SSU rRNA
Rfam family: Bacterial small subunit ribosomal RNA
Source: RNAcentral